UCGAGCGCGGUAGCAAUACGGAGCGGCAGACGGGAGAGUAACACGUGGGAACGUGCCCUUCAGUUCGGAACAAGCCCAGGGAAACUUGGGCUAAUACCGGAUACGUCCGUAAGGAGAAAGAUUUAUCGCUGAAGGAUCGGCCCGCGUCUGAUUAGCUAGUUGGUGGGGUAAUGGCCCACCAAGGCGACGAUCAGUAGCUGGUCUGAGAGGAUGAUCAGCAGACACUGGGACUGAGACACGGCCCAGACUCCUACGGGAGGCAGCAGUGGGGAAUAUUGGACAAUGGGCGCAAGCCUGAUCCAGCCAUGCCGCGUGGGUGAUGAAGGCCUUAGGGUUGUAAGCCCUUUCGGCGGGGAAGAUAAUGACGGUACCCGCAGAAGAAGCCCCGGCUAACUUCGUG
Molecule: ribosomal RNA, 400 nt
Filed under: uncultured bacterium
Lineage: Bacteria
Description: bacterial SSU rRNA
Rfam family: Bacterial small subunit ribosomal RNA
Source: RNAcentral